AAGGAUGUAAGAGUGGUGUAACACGACUGCUUGUUUGGUGUAACACGACUGCUUGUUUUACAUAUAACAAUGGUAACACGUUGAUCCUUCCUUAACAAUGACAAUAGCCACGACAUCUACAACCGAUUGACCAACCAAUCGGAGGCCACCAUCUCUCCCUUCUUGAAUCUUGCACAAAAUGCAUACACCGCUAUCACCAUUUCAGGAAGACCACAAGCAGCAGGAACCUUCAAGAAAGGAUAAGCUCGUGACACAAGCGAUAAGCUCUUCAGGAGUUGAGUGGUGCGAUCGGUGGAACGGUGGAAGAUCUUCAAGAGUUUAGUGGGUUUUCAAACUCGUUACCAAAACAGAACCUUCAAUAUAUUGCUGACCAUACAUAUUGGAUUGGUGUAUGUUCAAUGAGCUGGAACAACCUGCAGAAAAUGAGAGGACAACAACAGUAAGGAAUGGGGACUUCAAUUUGGGGGCUACAAAAGCGAUUGUUGAUUGAAUUGGAAAGAAACUUUCACCACCGGCUGGAGAUUGGAGAUCACCUUAACGAGAUAAUCAAAUCGAUUCCAUCUUAGAAAAGUACAAAGAUUGUUAGUUAUCAUAAUUUUUAAAAUUUUUGUUAGUCUUUUACUUUUGUAUUUUUGGUUCUAGGUAUUAUUAGUUUCUUCUGCCAGUUUAGUCCAUCCAUUUCUUCUACCUUCCUAUUGGUUAUGAGGCCCACUUCAAACAGGUUAUUGUUAGUUGCUUAAAUGAAUCUUAUUUGUUCUCAUAACUGAAUCUCAAUGAUAUUAACUUAGAAGAUAUGAUGAUCUAGAGGAUAACUGAACUUAUACAUUAAAAUUUGUUGUCUGUCACGUUGUUUUCUAUAGAUCGAAACCUAUACAUUAGAAAGUUUCACUACUUUGAUAGGGCUGCUCAAUUUUUCUUUGUAACUAUUUGUGAUGUGAUUUUGCUAAUUUCAGCUCUGACGUGGGCUUACUUCUAUAAAUGUUGCUGAUGCUUGUUAUGUUAUUUUCUCAUUCUCUUAUGAUUGGAAUCGUUUUCAUCCCCUUGUGUUUUUUGAACUUCCACGCAGUAAUUUGUCUUAGAAAUGUAGUUCCUUUUUGCUUGUUUAGCUAAUAUAGUUCUCAUGUGAAGAAUGGAAAUGAUAUAAACUGAAAAAUCAAUGUGCACUUUAUUUUUCUUUUGAUGGGCUUUACUCAUUUUUUAUUUGAAUUCAUUAAAUAUUGAGCUUAAAGUCCUUGCUAUGACCAUUUUCAUGUAUGGAUUUCGAGAUCAAGUUGCUAACAGUUGGUGGAAAAAGAUUGAAACUUACGAUUUGGAACAUAGCUGGACAAAAGAGGUUUGGAACAUUGAUAAGCUCUUACAAUAGUGGUGCACAUGGAAUUAUUCUCGGUAAGCUGUUUUCAAAUGUAGAAAAUUUGCAUUCCAAUGUCAUUUAUGUGGUAGUUAUACUUUUGAUAGUAUAUUUUUUUACAGUACUUCAUAUGGAAUAGUUCUCUAAUUUUUUUUUGGGUAACACAUGAAUUGUUUUGAAAAUGUCUGCUCGGUCACAUGCUUCUUCUUACCAUUUCGAUCAAUUUAAAUAGUUUUAAUUGUUGAUGUUUUGUUGUCAUCUUUCCUCUACCUAAUGUUUAAGCAACCAUUUUUGUAUUUACUUUUUGUUUUAGUUUAUGAUGUAACAGUGAUGUGACCCCACGCGCUUCCAACUAGCAAUAAUAA
Non-coding RNA from Camellia sinensis, 1713 nucleotides. The record is from RefSeq and is a predicted model, not a curated record. NCBI's taxonomy places the organism in Eukaryota, Viridiplantae, Streptophyta, Magnoliopsida, Ericales, Theaceae.